RNAcentral lists this ribosomal RNA (498 nucleotides) under uncultured bacterium. Its description in RNAcentral is "partial 16S ribosomal RNA". It matches the Rfam family "Bacterial small subunit ribosomal RNA", at positions 28 to 523 of the family's 1533-position model. The record is from RNAcentral.
GAUGAACGCUAGCGGCAGGCCUAAUACAUGCAAGUCGGACGGGAUUGAGGAGCUUGCUUCUCAUGAGAGUGGCGCACGGGUGCGUAACACGUAUGUACCCUACCUUAGUCAGGGGGAUAGCCUCUCGAAAGAGAGAUUAACACCGCAUAACAUUAUGAUAUGGCAUCAUAUUAUAAUCAAAUAUUUAUAGGACUAAGAUGGGCAUGCGGAACAUUAGCUAGUUGGUAAGGUAACGGCUUACCAAGGCUACGAUGUUUAGGGGAUCUGAGAGGAUGACCCCCCACACUGGUACUGAGACACGGACCAGACUCCUACGGGAGGCAGCAGUAAGGAAUAUUGGUCAAUGGACGCAAGUCUGAACUAGCCAUGCCGCGUGCAGGAAGACGGCCCUACGGGUUGUAAACUGCUUUUGUACCGGAAUAAACCUUUGUAUGUAUACGAAGCUGAAUGUACGGUAAGAAUAAGGAUCGGCUAACUCCGUGCCAGCCGCCGCGGUAA